Mesocricetus auratus (golden hamster) is the source of this 648-nucleotide long non-coding RNA. RefSeq lists it as uncharacterized. The transcript is spliced from 2 exons. NCBI's taxonomy places the organism in Eukaryota, Metazoa, Chordata, Mammalia, Rodentia, Cricetidae. The record is from RefSeq and is a predicted model, not a curated record.
UCUCUCAGACUGUAGGCAUAUCUGUCGGUCAUUUCCUUGAUCACUAAUGGAGGUGAGUAGACCCAAUGUGCGUGGUUUUGUAACUAGGUAGGAGGGACUGGACCGUAUAAAACAGAUAACUGAGUAGAACAGAAGGUUGCAAGUCAGUAAGUCACAGUUAUACUCUUUGCCUCAGUUCCUGCCUCCAGGUUUCUCGUGGUGACGGAUUGCAUUUCUCACAAAGAACGACACACUGUGCCCAAUACACAUUUCAUUGACAACAGCGGGACACAGCAUGGAAGAAGAUAUCUUCAGCAACUCAUUUGUUUUAGAGACAAAGAUACCAAGAUGUGGAGACAGAAAAUGAUCUGGUCACUGUCAAACGGCAAAGACUCUACAGUCGUUCCAAGAUCUUCCUUGACUCCACCUAUCAUCAAUUGACCUGCACCUGUGUUCUGAAGCUGUGUGUCCCCAGAACUCUCCCUUCCCCUACCUCUUAAAGGAGGUGUCUCUUCCUCUUCUUUAUUGUAGGAGGAAAUGAGUGUCCCUCGUUUCCAUCCCUAGGAUUCAUUGUUAUCUCACUAGAAUUUUCAGUAUAUAUAAUAUAUAAUUACAUUUGGUGUAUUUGCCUUAACCCAGCCAAUAAUUAAAUGGGUACAUUUUUCUUUA